Molecule: ribosomal RNA, 1493 nt
Filed under: uncultured bacterium
Lineage: Bacteria
Description: bacterial SSU rRNA
Rfam family: Bacterial small subunit ribosomal RNA
Source: RNAcentral
AGGGUUUGAUCCUGGCUCAGAGUGAACGCUGGCGGCAGGCCUAACACAUGCAAGUCGAGCGGCAGCGCGUCCGACCACCCUCGGGUGGUCGGAUGGCGGCGAGCGGCGGACGGGUGAGGAAUGCAUCGGAAUCUGCCUCGUUGUGGGGGAUAACGUAGGGGAACUUACGCUAAUACCGCAUACGACCUACGGGUGAAAGUGGGGGACCUUCGGGCCUCACGCGAUGAGAUGAGCCGAUGCCGGAUUAGCUAGUUGGCGGGGUAAAGGCCCACCAAGGCGACGAUCCGUAGCUGGUCUGAGAGGAUGAUCAGCCACACUGGAACUGAGACACGGUCCAGACUCCUACGGGAGGCAACAGUGGGGAAUAUUGGACAAUGGGGGCAACCCUGAUCCAGCCAUGCCGCGUGUGUGAAGAAGGCCUUCGGGUUGUAAAGCACUUUUGCUGGGGAAGAAACCGGCCGGGUUAAUACCCUGGUUGAAUGACGGUACCCAAAGAAUAAGCACCGGCUAACUUCGUGCCAGCAGCCGCGGUAAUACGAAGGGUGCAAGCGUUACUCGGAAUUACUGGGCGUAAAGCGUGCGUAGGCGGUUUGUUAAGUCUGCUGUGAAAGCCCUGGGCUCAACCUGGGAACUGCAGUGGAUACUGGCGAGCUAGAGUGUGUCAGAGGAUGGUGGAAUUCCCGGUGUAGCGGUGAAAUGCGUAGAGAUCGGGAGGAACACCAGUGGCGAAGGCGGCCAUCUGGGACAACACUGACGCUGAGGCACGAAAGCGUGGGGAGCAAACAGGAUUAGAUACCCUGGUAGUCCACGCCCUAAACGAUGCGAACUGGACGUUGGGCACACUUAGGUGCUCAGUGUCGAAGCUAACGCGUUAAGUUCGCCGCCUGGGGAGUACGGUCGCAAGACUGAAACUCAAAGGAAUUGACGGGGGCCCGCACAAGCGGUGGAGUAUGUGGUUUAAUUCGAUGCAACGCGAAGAACCUUACCUGGCCUUGACAUGCACGGAACUUUCCAGAGAUGGAUUGGUGCCUUCGGGAACCGUGACACAGGUGCUGCAUGGCUGUCGUCAGCUCGUGUCGUGAGAUGUUAGGUUAAGUCCGGCAACGAGCGCAACCCACACUUUCAGUUGCCAUCAUUCAGUUGGGCACUCUGGAAGAACUGCCGGUGAUAAGCCGGAGGAAGGUGUGGAUGACGUCAAGUCCUCAUGGCCCUUACGGGUUGGGCUACACACGUGCUACAAUGGUGGUGACAAUGGGUUAAUCCCCAAAAGCCAUCUCAGUUCGGAUUGGGGUCUGCAACUCGACCCCAUGAAGUCGGAAUCGCUAGUAAUCGCGUAACAGCAUGACGCGGUGAAUACGUUCCCGGGCCUUGUACACACCGCCCGUCACACCAUGGGAAUUGGGUCUACCCGACGACGGUGCGCCAACCUCGCAAGAGGAAGCAGCCGGCCACGGUAGGCUCAGUGACUGGGGUGAAGUCGUAACAAGGUAACC